GCCUACGGGAGGCAGCAGUAGGGAAUCUUCCACAAUGGGCGAAAGCCUGAUGGAGCAACGCCGCGUGGGUGGAGAAGGUCUUCGGAUCGUAAAACCCUGUUGUUAGAGAAGAAAGUGCGUGAGAGUAACUGUUCACGUUUCGACGGUAUCUAACCAGAAAGCCACGGCUAACUACGUGCCAGCAGCCGCGGUAAUACGUAGGUGGCAAGCGUUAUCCGGAUUUAUUGGGCGUAAAGGGAACGCAGGCGGUCUUUUAAGUCUGAUGUGAAAGCCUUCGGCUUAACCGGAGGAGUGAAUUGGAAACU
Molecule: ribosomal RNA, 305 nt
Filed under: uncultured bacterium
Lineage: Bacteria
Description: bacterial SSU rRNA
Rfam family: Bacterial small subunit ribosomal RNA
Source: RNAcentral